UACGUAGGGGGCAAGCGUUGUCCGGACUUACUGGGCGUAAAGCGUGCGCAGGCGGCUUUGCAAGACAGAUGUGAAAUCCCCGGGCUUAACCUGGGAACUGCAUUUGUGACUGCAUGGCUGGAGUGCGGCAGAGGGGGAUGGAAUUCCGCGUGUAGCAGUGAAAUGCGUAGAUAUGCGGAGGAACACCGAUGGCGAAGGCAAUCCCCUGGGCCUGCACUGACGCUCAUGCACGAAAGCGUGGGGAGCAAACAGG
This 253-nucleotide ribosomal RNA is filed under the name uncultured bacterium. RNAcentral describes it as "partial 16S ribosomal RNA". It matches the Rfam family "Bacterial small subunit ribosomal RNA", at positions 524 to 776 of the family's 1533-position model. The record is from RNAcentral.